CCCAUUGACUUUAAAGGUGUUUGCAGAGCAAGAAGUUACACGUCUGAAAUACACCACAGAGUGUUUCCAAUGGAGUUGGGAACAGUUUUCGUGUGUCCAGCCGGGAAAAUAAAUAUAAUGCAAAAUGGGCAGAGGUUUCACGCGUUAGGGCGGAAAUGAGUCCAUCAAGAUUCAAUGGCAGGCGAUAGGAAAGAAGCACAGAAGAUACAACGAGGGAAUUCGUCUUCCAGCCAUGAUAGAAAACUGGCACCAUGUUUACGGUCGAGAAAAAGUGAACCUCAAAAUUGGACAAAGCAUAUGUGCCAACUAUUUUUAGUAAUUGAACAACAGCUUUGCUGGACUGUAUUCUUUGGCAAAAGUUAAUUGCAUGAGAUGAACUCCAAGGUCACGCUUCAAUAAACUUGGCAUUCUCUCUGUAAGGCGUUUUGAAUCUGAAAGCAGGAAGAUAAAUCCCAAAUGGAACACCCAACCUCACUGAGCUUAUGAGGCUGCUAAAGCGGAUGGAAUUGGCAGGGCAAAACAUGUAAGAAGAUGGAUCUACACAAAAUGAAAAGAAGAAGAUGAGUGUGUUAACGGACUGCUUUUAUUGAUCCUGUUGAAGCAAGUUGCCUGUUGAAACAAGAUGCCCGUAUGAGCAGCAACUGAAGGUGGCCGCUAUCUGGCAGCCAAGAAGCAGCUGAUGCCUUCAGUCUAAUACUUCUUGAAGAAAUAA
This is a long non-coding RNA of Prionailurus viverrinus (fishing cat), 712 nucleotides long. RefSeq lists it as uncharacterized. Lineage: Eukaryota; Metazoa; Chordata; Mammalia; Carnivora; Felidae. The record is from RefSeq and is a predicted model, not a curated record. The transcript is spliced from 3 exons.